Drosophila miranda is the source of this 726-nucleotide long non-coding RNA. RefSeq lists it as uncharacterized. The transcript is spliced from 5 exons. The record is from RefSeq and is a predicted model, not a curated record. Lineage: Eukaryota; Metazoa; Arthropoda; Insecta; Diptera; Drosophilidae.
UGGUCUAGAAGCAUACUUUACUUCUCCCAUAAACUCUACCUAUGUGGGCAUUUUCUUUUCAAAAGGACUAAAUUUCGACUCAAACAUAUCACAACAUGAUAUAGAAAAAAUAUCAGGAAAACCAUUUCAUUUUGAAGAUUGUGCAAAUCACAUUUACUUUCCUUUAAUUGAUAAAUUUUAGAUUUUCAAAAAUGGCUUACCAAAACAAGCAGAAAAUACUCAAAUAACAGACAUAUCUAAUCCGGCUCAAAAUAAUCGGUCCAAUAAUUAUGAUAUAUUAAACCACCUAAAAAAAUUAUCGAAAACCAGCAGGACAUCAAAAAAAAAAUUGAAACCAUUAUUGGUAAAGUUGAUCGACAGGGGGCGGAACUUAUUUCGUUGCGUAAUGAAGUCGCAUCAAUUAAGGCUCGAGUGUGCGGAGAGCCUAACAUCGUAAAAUUGGCAGUACCACGUUCACCACUGGCCAGUCAAGAGGGCUUUGAAGCAUUUGAAGAUUUUUUUUAAAGAAGAGCAUGCUUUCAAUAACUUGAUCAAGGACUUAAUCGCUAUCAAUGAAAAAACGUUUGAUAAGUUUAUAAGGAGCUCCUGGCGACAGAUUAUAAGCGAUGAUAUGGCGAAGUUUUUCUCCUAGCGUGGGACAGACUCCAAAAAGUGUGUAAGAGGACUUCGAACCACUUUAGCACUACGAAUAUAUAGAUGUGCCAGUUCAUACAACGAAAGCGUCAC